AGAUAAGAGAAUAAAAGCAGGCUGCCCGAGCCAGCAGUGGCAACCCGCUCGGGUCCCCUUCCACACUGUGGAAGCUUUGUUCUUUUGCUCUUUGUAAUAAAUCUUGCUACUGCUUACUUUUUGGGUCCACACUGGUUUUAUGAGCUGUAACACUCACCACGAAGGUCUGCAGGUUCACUCCUGAGCCAGCGAGACCACGAGCCCACCGGGAGGAACGAACAACUCCAGACGUGCUGCCUUAAGAGCUGUAACACUCACCGUGAAGGUCUGCAGCUUCACUCCUGAACCAGCGAGGCCACGAACCCACCAGAAGGAAGAAACUCCGAACACAUCUGAACAUCAGAAGGAACAAACUCCAGACGCGCCACCUUAAGAGCUGUAACAUUCACCGCAAGGGUCCGCGGCUUCAUUCUUGAAGUCAGUGAGACCAAAAACCCACCAGUUGCGGACACAGUUGUUGUCACAGCCCGGCCUGCCCCAACCUGCCUCAGAGGAAGCAUCGGAGACACUCCACCAGCUUCUCCCAUGGCUUCCCUCAUCCUGGGGCCAAGGCAGCAUCUGGUACAGAGCUGAGGCAGGGGAGAGAUAUCCUUGGAGCCAACAUCCAUGUGUUUAACCUGGAUCCUCUGUGCCUGAGCAACUCAGGCUUCUUCCAUGUGGCAGGGGCGGGGUGAGGCCACAGACAGCUCCAGCUCACAUCAACCCAGCUAAUGGCUUCACAGGAAAGAGGGAAGCAAAAUCCCAGAGAAGUCUGAUUGGCCCGGCCUGGAUCUCAUGGCUGUGGGCAAUGGAAAAGCUGAGGGAACUGGAGAACAGCUGCUGUCCUCUCCCUGCGCACAUCUGUUCUGCCUCAUGCCAAAGGGAGACAAUGGCUAAAGGGGGCCUGUACUGGUCAGGCCCUGCAGAGAAACAGAACACACAGGUUGUGUAUGCAUGUAUAGGUAGGUAGGGAGACAGAGAGUGGGGAGAGAGAGAGGUUCGAGAAAUUGGCUCAUGUGAUUACAGAGGCUGGCAAGUCCAAAAUUUGCAGGGUGGGUGAUACGGUUUGGCUGUGUCCCCCCACCAAAUCUCAUCUUGAAUUGUAGCUCCUGUAAUUCCCACAUGUCAUGGGAGGGACCCCAUGGGAGGUAAUUGACUCAUGGGGCUGAGUCUUUCCCAUGCUGUUCUCAUGAUAGUGAAUAAGUCUCAGGAGAUCUGAUGGUUUUAUAAAAGGGAGUUCCCUGCCCAAGCUCCCUCUUGCCUGCUGCCAUGGAAGACGUGCCUUUGCUCCUUUGCCUUCCACCGUGAUUGUGAGGCCUCCCCAGCCUCGUGGAACUGUCAGUCCAUUAAACCUCUUUUUCUUUAUAAAUGA
This is a long non-coding RNA of Homo sapiens (human), 1351 nucleotides long. Ensembl annotates it as long intergenic non-protein coding RNA 1647. NCBI's taxonomy places the organism in Eukaryota, Metazoa, Chordata, Mammalia, Primates, Hominidae. The record is from Ensembl.